UUGAAUUUUAAUGAAGAGUUUGGUUGUAGCUGGCCCAUUCAUUUGGGCAUGUGCCACACCUUCCUCUUUCAUCCCACAACACCUGUGAACCUGUGAGACAGAGAUGGGGGAAUUUACUUGCUGCUUUUUGGAAUACAAAGGCAAUAGGUUAUUGACCCCCCCUCUGUCUACUCAAUUAAUAUAAACUCAAUUUAUUUUAAAACGAAUGUAAUGGAUGAACACAUCUCAUAC
This 231-nucleotide unclassified non-coding RNA is filed under the name soil metagenome. RNAcentral describes it as "partial internal transcribed spacer 1". The record is from RNAcentral.